RNAcentral lists this ribosomal RNA (517 nucleotides) under Thermus sp. Y10. RNAcentral describes it as "bacterial SSU rRNA". It matches the Rfam family "Bacterial small subunit ribosomal RNA", at positions 358 to 873 of the family's 1533-position model. Lineage: Bacteria; Thermotogati; Deinococcota; Deinococci; Thermales; Thermaceae. The record is from RNAcentral.
GGAAUCUUCCGCAAUGGGCGCAAGCCUGACGGAGCGACGCCGCUUGGAGGAGGAAGCCCUUCGGGGUGUAAACUCCUGAACCCGGGACGAAAUCCCUGAUGAGGGGGCUGACGGUACCGGGGUAAUAGCGCCGGCCAACUCCGUGCCAGCAGCCGCGGUAAUACGGAGGGCGCGAGCGUUACCCGGAUUUACUGGGCGUAAAGGGCGUGUAGGCGGCUUGGGGCGUCCCAUGUGAAAGGCCACGGCUCAACCGUGGAGGAGCGUGGGAUACGCUCAGGCUAGACGGUGGGAGAGGGUGGUGGAAUUCCCGGAGUAGCGGUGAAAUGCGCAGAUACCGGGAGGAACGCCGAUGGCGAAGGCAGCCACCUGGCUCACUUGUGACGCUGAGGCGCGAAAGCGUGGGGAGCAAACCGGAUUAGAUACCCGGGUAGUCCACGCCCUAAACGAAGCGCGCUAGGUCUCUGGGUUAUCUGGGGCCGAAGCCAACGCGUAAGCGCGCCGCCGGAGAGCUCUAGGA